RNAcentral lists this long non-coding RNA (3213 nucleotides) under Betta splendens (Siamese fighting fish). RNAcentral describes it as "lncRNA (ENSBSLG00000022241.1)". The record is from RNAcentral. Lineage: Eukaryota; Metazoa; Chordata; Actinopteri; Anabantiformes; Osphronemidae.
CUUUGCUGCUGAUAGCAUCACUGUUACUGCGUAUCUGUGUUGACAUCCACAGGUGGAUUAUGAAAAGCCUGUGCAGAACGAAGGGAGCAGAUCACGUGUGUUUAUGUGUCUGUAUUAGCCGCUAACGCUGGAAAGACGUGGAGCUGUUCUGUCUGUGCCGGGGUGGGUUCUGUGUGGGUUCUGUCUGUGCCUGUGUGGGUUCUGUCUGUGCCUGUGUGGGUUCUGUCUGUGCCUGUGUGGGUUCUGUGUGGGUUCUGUCUGUGCUUGUGUGGGUUCUGUCUGUGCUUGUGUGGGUUCUGUCUGUGCCUGUGUGGGUUCUGUCUGUGCCGGAGUGGGUUCUGUCUGUGCCGAGGUGGGUUCUGUGUGGGUUCUGUCUGUGCCUGUGUGGGUUCUGUCUGUGCCGGAGUGGGUUCUGUCUGUGCCUGUGUGGGUUCUGUGUGGGUUCUGUCUGUGCCUGUGUGGGUUCUGCCUGUGCAUGUGUGGGUUCUGCCUGUGCCUGUGUGGGUUCUGUGUGGGUUCUGUCUGUGCAUGUGUGGGUUCUGCCUGUGCCUGUGUGGGUUCUGUGUGGGUUCUGUCUGUGCUUGUGUGGGUUCUGUCUGUGCCUGUGUGGGUUCUGCCUGUGCCUGUGUGGGUUCUGUCUGUGCCUGUGUGGGUUCUGUCUGUGCUUGUGUGGGUUCUGUCUGUGCCUGUGUGGGUUCUGUCUGUGCUUGUGUGGGUUCUGUCUGUGCUUGUGUGGGUUCUGUCUGUGCCUGUGUGGGUUCUGUGUGGGUUCUGUCUGUGCUUGUGUGGGUUCUGUCUGUGCUUGUGUGGGUUCUGUCUGUGCCGGGGUGGGUUCUGUGUGGGUUCUGUCUGUGCCUGUGUGGGUUCUGUCUGUGCCUGUGUGGGUUCUGUCUGUGCCGGGGUGGGUUCUGUGUGGGUUCUGUCUGUGCCUGUGUGGGUUCUGUGUGGGUUCUGUCUGUGCCUGUGUGGGUUCUGCCUGUGCAUGUGUGGGUUCUGCCUGUGCCUGUGUGGGUUCUGUGUGGGUUCUGUCUGUGCUUGUGUGGGUUCUGUCUGUGCCUGUGUGGGUUCUGUCUGUGCCGGAGUGGGUUCUGUCUGUGCCGGGGUGGGUUCUGUGUGGGUUCUGUCUGUGCCUGUGUGGGUUCUGUCUGUGCCGGAGUGGGUUCUGUCUGUGCCGGAGUGGGUUCUGUCUGUGCCGGGGUGGGUUCUGUGUGGGUUCUGUCUGUGCCUGUGUGGGUUCUGCCUGUGCAUGUGUGGGUUCUGCCUGUGCCUGUGUGGGUUCUGUGUGGGUUCUGUCUGUGCUUGUGUGGGUUCUGUCUGUGCCUGUGUGGGUUCUGCCUGUGCCUGUGUGGGUUCUGUCUGUGCCUGUGUGGGUUCUGUCUGUGCUUGUGUGGGUUCUGUCUGUGCCUGUGUGGGUUCUGUCUGUGCCUGUGUGGGUUCUGUGUGGGUUCUGUCUGUGCUUGUGUGGGUUCUGUCUGUGCUUGUGUGGGUUCUGUCUGUGCCUGUGUGGGUUCUGUCUGUGCUUGUGUGGGUUCUGUCUGUGCCUGUGUGGGUUCUGUCUGUGCCGGAGUGGGUUCUGUCUGUGCCGGGGUGGGUUCUGUGUGGGUUCUGUCUGUGCCUGUGUGGGUUCUGUCUGUGCCUGUGUGGGUUCUGCCUGUGCAUGUGUGGGUUCUGCCUGUGCCUGUGUGGGUUCUGCCUGUGCCUGUGUGGGUUCUGUCUGUGCCUGUGUGGGUUCUGCCUGUGCAUGUGUGGGUUCUGUCUGUGCCUGUGUGGGUUCUGUCUGUGCUUGUGUGGGUUCUGUCUGUGCCGGGGUGGGUUCUGUGUGGGUUCUGUCUGUGCCUGUGUGGGUUCUGCCUGUGCAUGUGUGGGUUCUGUCUGUGCUUGUGUGGGUUCUGUCUGUGCCUGUGUGGGUUCUGUGUGGGUUCUGUCUGUGCCUGUGUGGGUUCUGUCUGUGCCUGUGUGGGUUCUGUCUGUGCCGGGGUGGGUUCUGUGUGGGUUCUGUCUGUGCCUGUGUGGGUUCUGCCUGUGCAUGUGUGGGUUCUGUCUGUGCUUGUGUGGGUUCUGUCUGUGCCUGUGUGGGAUCUGUGUGGGUUCUGUCUGUGCUUGUGUGGGUUCUGUCUGUGCCUGUGUGGGUUCUGCCUGUGCCUGUGUGGGUUCUGUCUGUGCUUGUGUGGGUUCUGUCUGUGCCUGUGUGGGUUCUGUCUGUGCCUGUGUGGGUUCUGUCUGUGCCGGGGUGGGUUCUGUGUGGGUUCUGUCUGUGCCUGUGUGGGUUCUGCCUGUGCAUGUGUGGGUUCUGUCUGUGCUUGUGUGUGUUCUGUCUGUGCCUGUGUGGGUUCUGUCUGUGCCUGUGUGGGUUCUGUGUGGGUUCUGUCUGUGCUUGUGUGGGUUCUGUCUGUGCUUGUGUGGGUUCUGUCUGUGCCUGUGUGGGUUCUGUCUGUGCUUGUGUGGGUUCUGUCUGUGCCUGUGUGGGUUCUGCCUGUGCCUGUGUGGGUUCUGUCUGUGCUUGUGUGGGUUCUGUCUGUGCCUGUGUGGGUUCUGUCUGUGCCGGAGUGGGUUCUGUCUGUGCCGGGGUGGGUUCUGUGUGGGUUUUGUCUGUGCCUGUGUGGGUUCUGUCUGUGCCGGAGUGGGUUCUGUCUGUGCCUGUGUGGGUUCUGUGUGGGUUCUGUCUGUGCCUGUGUGGGUUCUGCCUGUGCAUGUGUGGGUUCUGCCUGUGCCUGUGUGGGUUCUGUGUGGGUUCUGUCUGUGCAUGUGUGGGUUCUGCCUGUGCCUGUGUGGGUUCUGUGUGGGUUCUGUCUGUGCUUGUGUGGGUUCUGUCUGUGCCUGUGUGGGUUCUGUCUGUGCCUGUGUGGGUUCUGCCUGUGCCUGUGUGGGUUCUGUCUGUGCUUGUGUGGGUUCUGUCUGUGCCUGUGUGGGUUCUGUGUGGGUUCUGUCUGUGCUUGUGUGGGUUCUGUCUGUGCUUGUGUGGGUUCUGUCUGUGCCUGUGUGGGUUCUGUCUGUGCCGGAGUGGGUUCUGUCUGUGCCGGGGUGGGUUCUGUGUGGGUUCUGUCUGUGCCUGUGUGGGUUCUGUCUGUGCCGGAGUGGGUUCUGUCUGUGCUUGUGUGGGUUUUGUCUGUGCCUGUGUGGGUUCUGUGUGGGUUCCGCCUGUGCCUGUGUGGGUUCUGUGUGGAUUCUCUCCAGGCAGUUUCACUGCACAAAGCAGCUAUAUGCUAAUUUGCU